UUAAUCGAAAUUCCAUGUAUAGUAUUUGUUAAAAGAUGGAAAUAGCAGGAUCUUUGUUGCAAUGUUUUAUAGUUUCGUACAUUCAUUUAUCAGAGAUAAUACUGCUUGAAACUAUUCUAACUCAACUGAGAGUUAAUGAAUUUUAACUAGGAGUGUUGUGCUGCAGGAUUCCCAUCCCACCACAACGCCCCCUUCAACCCCGAACCAGUUUACUGAUGCGCCUCCACAACCUUAUGGGUUGCCGCUGUCCGUGCAGCUGCUAGCAGCAGGGCCCAUUGUCGUUGCUCCGCAGUCCAGGUUGAUCUGCUUGCUGCUGUUUCUACUAUCGCUGAAACCAACCAGGACUUACUGGCCUCAAAACACCAAGGUUGGUUGGGCAAUCUGGUGCUUAUCUGCUGGGAUUUUGAAUUUAAUGUGUGAAAUUUCUGGUAGCUAUUUGGGUCCAUGUAGGGUAUGAUAUAAAUCUCAGAUUUUCUUGGUUAAUUAGUCGCAAUUGUUAGUUUGUUAAUGGCUUCAUGUAUGCAGCUCAAGCCUCACUUCAUCAGGUAAAAUGUCAACCUAAAAAUCAUCCAGGCAGCAGGAUACUUUCCCAAGAGCACCAAUUGCAGUAAACAACUUUGGCUGAUGCUCACGACAGGCUGUGACGCCGUGUGGUGGUGUCGAGCAUUGGGGGUAGAUGUUCAAGCUGGAGGAUUUUCUCCAAUGAGAUGUAGAAUGAAGGCUUUGAUUUCAAGCACGAGAAUGAUGGAAGGAUGUUGGUGGAAGGCUGAGGAUGGGUAUGUAGUUGCCCACUACAAGGAGCCAAGGCAGAUGAUGUGCCUCUUAGACAAAUUCUAGAAAACAAUGCAAGGAAUUUUUGCUCUUGGACAAUGAACCAUAAUGUCUGAUAUAUUUCAUUAGUUGCAUUAGUUUAUAGGAAACUUGGAUGGUCACUGGUUCAUAACAUAUGAACUAUCUAUAUGUGAAAAUUAAUGAAUUUGUG
Molecule: long non-coding RNA, 982 nt
Organism: Triticum dicoccoides
Lineage: Eukaryota; Viridiplantae; Streptophyta; Magnoliopsida; Poales; Poaceae
Exons: 4
Source: RefSeq, a predicted model, not a curated record